AUUGAACGCUGGCGGCAGGCUUAACACAUGCAAGUCGAACGAGUGGCGGACGGGUGAGUAAUUCUUGGGAAUCUAGCUUAUGGAGGGGGAUAACUACGGGAAACUGUAGCUAAUACCGCGUACCAUAGGAUGAGCCCAAUGGGGAUUAGGUAGUUGGUGAGGAAAAGGCUCACCAAGCCGACGAUCUCUAGCUGGUCGGCGAGGAUGACCAGCCACCCGGGAACUGAUACACGCACCAGACUCCUACGGGAGGAAGCAUUGGGGAAUAUUGCGCAAUGGGGGCAACCCUGACGCAGCCAUGCCGAGUGAAUGAAGAAGGCCUUCGGGUUGUAAAGUACUUUCAGCGGGGAGGCGUUACCCGCAGAAGAAGCACCGGCUAACUCCGUGCCAGCAGCCGCGGUAAUUC
RNAcentral lists this ribosomal RNA (406 nucleotides) under uncultured bacterium. RNAcentral describes it as "partial 16S ribosomal RNA". It matches the Rfam family "Bacterial small subunit ribosomal RNA", at positions 30 to 526 of the family's 1533-position model. The record is from RNAcentral.